Molecule: unclassified non-coding RNA, 208 nt
Filed under: uncultured Tomentella
Lineage: Eukaryota; Fungi; Basidiomycota; Agaricomycetes; Thelephorales; Thelephoraceae
Also listed under: 1 other name
Description: sequence contains ITS2
Source: RNAcentral
ACACCUCAACUCUUGUGGUUUGCCAUGAUGAGCUUAGGCUCUACAGGUUUUGCUGGUCUUUCCAAUUGGCUCCUCUCAAAUGAAUCAGCUUGCCAGUAUCUGGUGGCAUCAUGGAUGUGAUAACUAUCUAUGCUCAGAGCCAUCCACCAGGUAACCUUCAGUGAUGGAGGUUUACUGGGGGUCACAAAUGGGGGACAGCUUUUUGAAU